UGAGGAAUAUUGGGCAAUGCCCGCAAGGGUGACCCAGCAACGCCGCGUGGAGGAUGAAUGUCGUAAGAUUGUAAACUCCUGUUAGAGGGGAAGUAUAGUACCGGUUGGACCGGUAUAUGACUGUACCCUCAGAGAAAGCCCCGGCUAACUACGUGCCAGCAGCCGCGGUAAUACGUAGGGGGCAAGCGUUGUCCGGAUUUACUGGGUGUAAAGGGCGCGCAGGCGGGAUAAAAAGUCAGUGGUGAAAUCCUACAGCUUAACUGUAGAACUGCCUUUGAUACUUUUAUUCUUGAGUUCGGGAGAGAGACGGAAUUCCAGGUGUAGUGGUGAAAUACGUAGAUAUCUGGAAGAACACCAGUUUCGAAGGCGGUCUCUUGGUCCGACACUGACGCUGAGGCGCGAAAGCGUGGGGAGCAAACA
RNAcentral lists this ribosomal RNA (420 nucleotides) under uncultured bacterium. RNAcentral's name for it is "bacterial SSU rRNA". It matches the Rfam family "Bacterial small subunit ribosomal RNA", at positions 355 to 774 of the family's 1533-position model. The record is from RNAcentral.